Molecule: long non-coding RNA, 331 nt
Filed under: Equus asinus (donkey)
Lineage: Eukaryota; Metazoa; Chordata; Mammalia; Perissodactyla; Equidae
Description: lncRNA (ENSEASG00005023982.1)
Source: RNAcentral
UUUUGAAUGCCCAAGCAUGAUUUUUCUUUUUUUUAUUAUAAAUGUUAUCAUUUUUAGAUUAGUAUGAUUUAAAUCAGUUGACAAGUCCUAUGGCUUUUCUGCCUGGUAUCAUCAAGAUAUAUUCACUAUACAAAAAAAUUGCUAUUGCUCACAUUUUUAAAAGAAUCAUAAAAAAAUUUGUUUUUCAGUAUGAUUAUAUGGAAUGAGAAAUGAUGGCUGUAACACAGAAAAUUAUCCAGAUUAUUGACCUUACUAACACUUUACAGGAAAGAUUCUAAAUAUGUGGGAGCAACGUUUCCUGGCACAAUAUGCAAUAAAAGCUAUGAUGCAG